CCUACGGGUGGCUGCAGUGGGGAAUAUUGCACAAUGGGGGAAACCCUGAUGCAGCAACGCCGCGUGAAGGAAGACGGUUUUCGGAUUGUACCCUUCUAUCAAUAGGGAAGAAAGAAAUGACGGUACCUAAAUAAGAAGCCCCGGCUAACUACGUGCCAGCAGCCGCGGUAAGACGUAGGGGGCAAGCGUUAUCCGGAAUUACUGGGUGUAAGGGGAGAGUAGGCGGCAAGGUAAGCGAUAUGUGAAAGCCUUAAGCUUAACUUAAGGAUGGCAUAACGAACUAUCUAGCGAGAGUACAGGAGAGGAAAGCGGAAUUCCUAGUGUAGCGGUGAAAUGCGUAGAUAGUAGGAAGAACACCAGUGGCGAAGGCGGCUUUCUGGACUGAAACUGACGCUGAGGCUCGAAAGCGUGGGGAGCGAACAGGAUUAGAUACCCCAGUAGUC
Molecule: ribosomal RNA, 443 nt
Filed under: uncultured bacterium
Lineage: Bacteria
Description: partial 16S ribosomal RNA
Rfam family: Bacterial small subunit ribosomal RNA
Source: RNAcentral